UGGUUUUAAAGACAAAGUUCUGUGAAUGAUGUGUGGUGCCUUUGACUCUGCUCCUGACCUUACACUGAGGAGCAGCAGUCUAGACCAAGAGUGCGAACUUGAGAGGCACGUAUGGUCUUUCUCUUUUCUUGUUGUUUUUUUCACCAUCUUCCUCCUCCCGGGUCCGUAUGGGAUUGUUCUGACAUACAGAGAUGGCAUACAAAGACUGGGCUCAAAGUCAGUCAUGACUGAAAGUCUACAUUUGUGACCUUGAGGACAUCUGCAGUGAUUGACUCAACUCCAUGGGCAGCCAGCUCCCGAGGAUGGAGCAAUCUCCUAGUUUUCCAAGAGCACCACCAUCCAUAUGGACAGAAGAGAGCCUUUGAACUUCCCAAAGUGACAAUACCAGCCUCUUCCGGCAACAGCAGCACAUCUGGGACAGCUUGUCUCUUCGAAAGCCUCGGUGUCUGGUACAUCGCAAGAAGAAAGAGGCUGCGACUGAGGAGCAACAGCUUGCGGGUGCGAGGUCGCGUGUGGGAGGAGGACGAGGAGGAGGUCGAGGAGGAGGACGCGGUCGCGGCAACGAGGCGCUGCAGUUUCGUGAGGUGCAGGACUUAGCUCGCUUUGUGAACAGAUCUUGGAAAGGCCGUGUUCACAGUGGCUAAGUUCCGCUCCUCAGAAGCACUGGCUUAGCGGCAGAGCGGGGCGCAGACGCUUAGCCCCGAGAGGGUGGCACACGUUAUCUCAAGCAGGAAGGAACUGAGAAAAAUUUCCUUUGGGCUAUGCAAGGAAAAGUUAAAUCAGACAGGGUGGCCUGGGAAGCACUUGGGGAUAAGGGAGCCUUGCCUGAUGGCACAGAUACUCGCGCUGGAAAGAGGGUACACAGACAGUGCUUCCGCUGUGAGCAUCACAUCUGUCGUCGGGUCGAAGGGGUUGGACUUAAUUGGUGCAUUAUAUGCA
Molecule: long non-coding RNA, 939 nt
Filed under: Scleropages formosus (Asian bonytongue)
Lineage: Eukaryota; Metazoa; Chordata; Actinopteri; Osteoglossiformes; Osteoglossidae
Description: lncRNA (ENSSFOG00015032280.1)
Rfam family: mir-27 microRNA precursor family (bases 580-658)
Source: RNAcentral